UACGGGGGGGGCAAGCGUUGUUCGGAAUUACUGGGCGUAAAGGGCUCGUAGGCGGCCAUCUAAGUCGGACGUGAAAUCCCUCGGCUUAACCGGGGAACUGCGUCUGAUACUGGAUGGCUUGAGUUUGGGAGAGGGAUGCGGAAUUCCAGGUGUAGCGGUGAAAUGCGUAGAUAUCUGGAGGAACACCGGUGGCGAAGGCGGCAUCCUGGACCAACACUGACGCUGAGUGAGCGAAAGCCAGGGGAGCAAACGGG
RNAcentral lists this ribosomal RNA (254 nucleotides) under uncultured bacterium. Its description in RNAcentral is "partial 16S ribosomal RNA". It matches the Rfam family "Bacterial small subunit ribosomal RNA", at positions 524 to 776 of the family's 1533-position model. The record is from RNAcentral.